GAUGAACGCUGGCGGCGUGCCUAAUACAUGCAAGUCGAGCGAACAGAUGAGGAGCUUGCUCCUAUGACGUUAGCGGCGGACGGGUGAGUAACACGUGGAUAACCUACCUAUAAGACUGGGAUAACUUCGGGAAACCGGAGCUAAUACCGGAUAAUAUAUUGAACCGCAUGGUUCAAUAGUGAAAGACGGUUUUGCUGUCACUUAUAGAUGGAUCCGCGCCGCAUUAGCUAGUUGGUAAGGUAACGGCUUACCAAGGCAACGAUGCGUAGCCGACCUGAGAGGGUGAUCGGCCACACUGGAACUGAGACACGGUCCAGACUCCUACGGGAGGCAGCAGUAGGGAAUCUUCCGCAAUGGGCGAAAGCCUGACGGAGCAACGCCGCGUGAGUGAUGAAGGUCUUCGGAUCGUAAAACUCUGUUAUUAGGGAAGAACAAAUGUGUAAGUAACUAUGCACGUCUUGACGGUACCUAAUCAGAAAGCCACGGCUAACUACGUG
RNAcentral lists this ribosomal RNA (497 nucleotides) under uncultured bacterium. RNAcentral's name for it is "partial 16S ribosomal RNA". It matches the Rfam family "Bacterial small subunit ribosomal RNA", at positions 28 to 507 of the family's 1533-position model. The record is from RNAcentral.